This 253-nucleotide ribosomal RNA is filed under the name uncultured bacterium. RNAcentral describes it as "partial 16S ribosomal RNA". It matches the Rfam family "Bacterial small subunit ribosomal RNA", at positions 524 to 776 of the family's 1533-position model. The record is from RNAcentral.
UACGAAGGGGGCUAGCGUUGCUCGGAAUUACUGGGCGUAAAGCGCACGUAGGCGGUCUUUUAAGUCGGGGGUGAAAUCCUGGAGCUCAACUCCAGAACUGCCUUCGAUACUGGAAGACUCGAGCCCGGGAGAGGUGAGUGGAACUGCGAGUGUAGAGGUGAAAUUCGUAGAUAUUCGCAAGAACACCAGUGGCGAAGGCGGCUCACUGGCCCGGUACUGACGCUGAGGUGCGAAAGCGUGGGGAGCAAACAGG